Physcomitrium patens is the source of this 1235-nucleotide non-coding RNA. NCBI's taxonomy places the organism in Eukaryota, Viridiplantae, Streptophyta, Bryopsida, Funariales, Funariaceae. The record is from RefSeq and is a predicted model, not a curated record.
CACAUUGUGCUGAUUUGGUGGAAGCCCAUCUUUAUGAUUUAGGAUUAGGUUUAGGGCUUGGACUGCAGCCCAGGCCUUCUCGGGUUUCGCAGCCUGUCAUAACCACAACCGCACCAUCACCGUCACCGAACUGGCGGAGGCACAUCUUCCACCACGUGAACUACGCCUUCGGGUUCCACAACUUGCCGGACACGAAGCGCUAGUUUCGAUGCGCAGCAAGUGUGAGAGAGGAUUCCGCGAGAACCCUAGCUGCCCAAAAGAUCCGGAAAUGGCUUUGCAGGCCAGUUGAUUUGUGGCCCCUCUGCCUUUUAAAUGCUGCUAUUGCCUCUGUUCCUACUUUUCCCUCGCAGGGCGACGAGGAAUAGCGGGAGGGUGGGGCACGGCGAAGCUUAUUCUUUACGUUGUUCCUAGUGUGUCCUUUCCACAGGGAUGUCUGGCCGAAUCGACAGUAUUCGAGAAAACCGCAGCGCCACUCUUCUCAGCUAUGGCCUCCCUCUCUUCCCCCCUCCUCCUCAGGCCUUGAUGAUUGCAUGUGUGCUUCUGAUCGAUUUCAAAGAAGGUCACUUUUUGUCUGCGGUGAGAGGAACGGGCUUCGUCGCUUCUGGUUUUAGUAUCGAGCGCAUGGGGUUUGGCCAGUUGUAAAAUGCGGUAUUACGUUUAGGAUACACUUUCCGCUUGUUGCUGUCCCAACAGGAGUCACACACAAGCACAAGUUCAGCAUAAUUCUACUAUUUGUUGUGGAUAUCACAGGCUUCAACUUUUUUAUGUAGUAACGACUCUUCGCAGCCUAUGUACACCGGACUAUACAGUUCAAGUGGCCAACAUUCCCCGUAACUCAGUAAAAUUAUCGAAGGUUUUAGCAGAGAUUAAUCACUUUCAGGUCUCAAUGUGAGUCAAGUUUUAAAAUCACCUUUUCCACUUUGAAAGUUGAGUGGCUUUCAUUGUGACAAUUUAUCAAUCUUCAAAAUUACGAUCAAGGAUAGAGAAAGCUGUUAAAUUGACCAAUCCUCGAAGUAGACUUUAAAAAGAGCCCUUUUGAAGGAACACUUGUACAAACAUCAGCUAGAGUCUUCUGGUCCGAUAGCCAGUUUCAGCUUCAAAUUCAUCUGCACUAUAUUUUCUGUUAUGUAUAUUAACAUGGCGAAACAUCACUAGCAUAUGCUGUUAGGGAAAACAAUCGCACAAGUGGCAAGAAGAAUGGCCCUUUGCGAUUGCUUAACAUUUGGAAGUACCAA